GAGAACCACUAUUCACGCUUGUAGUUACUGAGAUUCCGAAAACCAGCUCCCUCACGCCGGUGGUGUCAAGCGAAUGCGCCGCUGGAAAAGUUGAUUUCCUCGAUCGAACACGACGCUGGAAAAGUUGAAGUCGAUCCAGUACCGUUGCCGAAGAAGACGACUCCUAUUGCCCGUCACUGGAACAUUAUUGUGCCCACUUUUUUCCUUAAUCGUUGCCGGAGAAGACGACUUGUUGUCGGCGCCGGAGUUGUCUAUCAUUUUCUAUGCAUUUUUUAACACCGACUUCUUGAUUUAUCUGCAAGUGGGUUACUAAGAUUUUAAUAUAAUAUUUUUUAGGGUUUUGAUUUUUUUAGUGUUUUUCAUUGCUUUAACUAUGGACACGAGCCGAUCGUUCGUCAGGCCAUUGAUCUCGUUGAUAACCUCUGCGGUUCUGAUGAUCCCUCUGUUUCUAGCGAUUUCAUUGCUCGGAUUACUGAACGUCUUUCUUCUUCUGCUUUGUCUUGAAGCCGUCGACAUGUCUACUCGGCGCAUAGAUCUGUGUUUUCAAUCUCCAUCCAGCCAUUCUUUCUGGCCAAGUUUGUGUUUGAAUCCCAGGACUCGGUGAAUAACCACCCUGAACCAGAAACCUACCUGGAUUUCUCAUUCACCAUCCAACCUUUCUGGGAAACCAAAGGUAACAAACACUAAAACUGAGCCAAAAGUCAAGUGGGUUGUUAGACUAAGCUCAGCAGAACCAAGCCUCCCACCAAAUUCAAUGAUUGAAGGGAAUCCGCUACUGGAUUUCGUGAAGGAGGAUUUCAUGCGUAUCUUUGAUGAUUAAGAGCUUGCUCGAACGAUGUACGACGAGUUCAUCAUAUACCGAGAUCUGGUCACCAAGCACAACACCCUGGGUGGUUUUCUUUUCAAUCUGGCACUCUUGAAGACGCUUCUCCGGUCAGAGUUUCAGUUGCACAACGUCAAACAAGUACUCCCCUCUCUUGUUACUGAUUUAAUUUCUGUACAAGACGAUGCCAAAUUUUUAAUGUUUUUUAAGCUUACUAACUUGGCAUUGAAUUGUUGAGUCGUUAUACAGGGUCACUUCAACCCGAAUUUCUUAAGAACAAAAUGAAGAAAGAAUUUCCACCUCCGA
This is a long non-coding RNA of Nelumbo nucifera (sacred lotus), 1129 nucleotides long. RefSeq lists it as uncharacterized. Lineage: Eukaryota; Viridiplantae; Streptophyta; Magnoliopsida; Proteales; Nelumbonaceae. The record is from RefSeq and is a predicted model, not a curated record.